Molecule: ribosomal RNA, 422 nt
Filed under: Microsporidia sp. clade V
Lineage: Eukaryota; Fungi; Microsporidia
Description: SSU rRNA
Rfam family: Eukaryotic small subunit ribosomal RNA
Source: RNAcentral
CCUCGAUGUAUUAAAUGCGCUCGGUGACGCGAGUCGCCGAGGGCUCUUAAGCGGACUGGCCAUGUUUAACGGCAGGAAGUGCGAGGCAAUAACAGGUCUGUGAUGCCCUUAGAUGUUCUGGGCCGCACGCGCGCUACACUGACCGGGGCAGAGAGUGUGUUGGCCAUGGCCGAGAGGCGAUGGGAAUCAUGAAACCCGGUCGUGCUGGGGAUAGACCAUUGCAAUUGUUGGUCUUCAACGAGGAAUUCCUAGUAAGCGCGAGUCAUCAGCUUGCGUUGAUUACGUCCCUGCCCUUUGUACACACCGCCCGUCGUUACUACCGAUUGAAUGCUGUGGUGAGGCCUGUGGUGAGGUUCCGAGUCCGUGAGGAGGAGGGGGCUUGAAACUGGUCAAACCUGGGCAUUUAGAGGAAGUACAAGUCG